Molecule: unclassified non-coding RNA, 227 nt
Filed under: uncultured fungus
Lineage: Eukaryota; Fungi
Description: sequence contains ITS1, 5.8S rRNA gene
Rfam family: 5.8S ribosomal RNA (bases 179-227)
Source: RNAcentral
UCUCCGUAGGUGAACCUGCGGAGGGAUCAUUACUGAGUGAGGGCCUUCGGGCUUGACCUCCAACCCUUUUGUGAACCACCUCGUUGCUUCGGGGGCGACCCUGCCGUCCGCGGCUGAGCGCCCCCGGGGUCAAUCAAACACUGCAUUCUCUGCGUCGGAGUUUAAGUAAAUUAAACAAAACUUUCAACAACGGAUCUCUUGGUUCUGGCAUCGAUGAAGAACGCAGC